This 443-nucleotide ribosomal RNA is filed under the name uncultured bacterium. Its description in RNAcentral is "partial 16S ribosomal RNA". It matches the Rfam family "Bacterial small subunit ribosomal RNA", at positions 338 to 795 of the family's 1533-position model. The record is from RNAcentral.
CCUACGGGAGGCAGCAGUGGGGAAUAUUGGGCAAUGGGCGCAAGCCUGACCCAGCAACGCCGCGUGCAGGAAGAAGGCUUUCGGGUUGUAAACUUCUUUUCUCAGGGACGAAGCAAGUGACGGUACCUGAGGAAUAAGCCACGGCUACAUACGUGCCAGCAGCCGCGGUAAUACGUAGGUGGCAAGCGUUAUCCGGAUUUACUGGGUGUAAAGGGCGUGUAGGCGGGACUGCAAGCCAGUUGUGAAAACCACGGGGUCAAACUGUGGCCUGCAUUUGAAACUGGAGUUCUUGAGUACUGGAGAGGCAGACGGAAUUCGUGGUGUAGCGGUGAAAUGCGUAGAUAUUAGGAGGAACACCAGUGGCGAAGGCAGUCUGCUGGGGAGCAACUGACGCUGAGGCGCGAAAGCGUGGGGAGCAAACAGGAUUAGAUACCCCGGUAGUC